Molecule: ribosomal RNA, 136 nt
Filed under: uncultured bacterium
Lineage: Bacteria
Description: partial 16S ribosomal RNA
Rfam family: Bacterial small subunit ribosomal RNA
Source: RNAcentral
UGGGGAAUCUUGCACAAUGGACGAAAGUCUGAUGCAGCGAUCCCGCGUGGAGGACGAAGCCCUAUGGGGUGUAAACUCCUUUUCUGGUGGAAGACGAAUGACGGUACACCAGGAAUAAGAGACGGCUAACUACGUG